This is a long non-coding RNA of Equus caballus (horse), 1686 nucleotides long. RefSeq lists it as uncharacterized. The record is from RefSeq and is a predicted model, not a curated record. NCBI's taxonomy places the organism in Eukaryota, Metazoa, Chordata, Mammalia, Perissodactyla, Equidae.
AAAUUAUCACUAGUCUAUGGAAAGUUAUCAGCCAACUUAUCACUCUUUUUGAAUGUAUAAUAAUUUUCACUUGGUUCUAAUAGCCAAUCUUUAUGUAAAGAGAUUAGGAGAAUAUCCUGCAGUAGUAAAGAGCUCAGGAUCUGGAGCCCGAUUCCUGACUAAUUCUGAUUUCACCAGGUACAAACCUUAUCACCUUGCUGAAUAUCUCUCAUCCUGUUUUCUUCAUGUGUGUGGUUAGGGAUAAUACGAGGGGCUGUGUAAACUAAGGCUAAUUUGCGCCUGAUUGUAGGAAGGGCACAAUAACCACCUUCGAUAUGCUCUUCUUGUUUGCUUCUAAUUAAUUGUAUAAAUGUAAGACAAGCAAUCAACCAUAAGAGGGGAAAAUGCUCGAGUCAGCCGCUUCUGCAGACAUUUGUUAUAAACAAUGAUUCUUUUAGAAUGAGGAAGAUCACUUUUUAUAAGGAGCUCAAGAUUUUCUGGGUGAGAAAAAAUGGAAAUCUCACCCCCAGCUCCCUGGGAUUCUAAGUUAGGGUAGGCCGGCCAAACCCCAGCGACAGAGGAGAGAAACAACAGGUUAAGAAAAAUCAAGGAGUAGGCUGCUCUGAAGCCUCUGCCUCAAGACAAGGCCUGAUCUGGGAAGAGAACUAGUUUUUCUUCAGGCUUUGGCAAAGGAGGAAAGCCCCUCAGCUUUCACUUACCCUGGAACUACGCUGUGCUGGGCAGUACGACAGCCGAGAACACGAGGCUCCAUCAGUCAUGAGACAUGGCCGUGGCCUGGACAAGGACCUGAAUCAGCAGAGUUGUUGCUGGAACAGUAGACACAUUUCAUUGGUCUGACUCGGGGGGACCAGGCCUCAGUAAGAACACAUGGCCUGGUGACACAACGCAGCUGAGUAUAGAAUAGAUUCCAGAUGUGUCUGGAGAUCUGAAAGACAGCCUCUUCAGGGAGAAUAGAGCCUUGGGAGGUGAGUCACAAAAGUAGCUUCAAAAGAAGUGUCUGCUGAAUUGGCACCAUGAAUUUAUUUUACCUUCUCAUCUUUGUUGUCCUCUUUCUCUCUCAAGUAAUGCCAGGUUAUGGAUACGGUCCAAUGCAUCAUUUCUGUGACUCACACAUCAGUGUCUGCCUGAGGAGGAAAAGAAAUUGCAUUAUUCGUAUGCCAGGGAUGUGCCCUGGGAGGAGUUUCUGUUGUGUAAGAACGAAGUGAACUGAAGAAUCUAUGUUUAAUGUCUCUUCCCUGAAUUAAAUUGGAAGGAUGAGACCUCCUGGUAUCAUUUUGUUUCUUUGAAUCAUUUAUGUCUUCAAUACCUAUUGAGCACCUUCUCUGCACUACAUCCUGUACUGGUGGCUGGGGAUAUGGAUUCAAGUUUCUCCUGCUAAAGAAACUCACAGCCAUGGAAAUCUUAUCCAAGUUGGGCAGAUCAAGGAUGUCUUCUCAGUGAGGGCCAGAUAUGAGCUGAGUUGUAAAAAAAAAAAAAUAAGAAUUAGCCAGGGAAAAUUGAAGGAGAAGUUUAAUAAAUGUGUUUCAACGUGAAGAGAACAAAAUACGCAAGGGCACUAUGCCAGAAAUGUGCCUACCAUCAUGUUAGGGGGUAGUUUGAGAACCAAGAUGUGAUAAAAGAUGAAACUAGAUGAAGUAUGGCGCAUUGCCAGCGGAAUUUAGCCUCUAAAGAAAUUUCACGUUAUCU